UAUGGCUCGGUGGGCGGGCUUUGGGCUUCUAGUGGUCCUCAGAGGCGUUAACUUUUGCUGUAAUAUUUACUGCAUUUGUGGAGUAGUACUAAAUUUGCUCGAAAAUUACAGAUGUAUACAUAUAAAGAUGUAUAAGUUUUGACUUGCCGGACUGAAUUGGGUUUUUUGCUUCCCCAGAAAAGGGAAACUCAGUGUUUUUGGUUCCAAUAAAAGACAAAACUAAACCUUUCGGUAAGUUACCUGGUCGGGAGCAGGAUUUCUUCGGUAAACCCAGAAUUUACUUCCGUCUCCUCACCCUUUUUUAAAGCCCUCUCCGCAGUAACUGAGACAGACCAUGGCAGCUUUACUCAUGUAGGAUGAUCUGAUCGGUGUGAAUUAGACAUUGUGUGAUGAUCAAGAGGAAAACCUACACUUCACAGCAUCUCAGAACCCUUAUGGAUAAAACAAAGCCUCAUUCUUAAGUCUUUGUUGUCUGAAGGGAUGACCUCUCUUCUCCCUGCUGGGCUUGGCACUGCUGGGUCUGACACCAGCCCAGCAGCCGUCUCUCCCUCCAUAAUUUAUUGUCUUUUCUCUCUGGAAGGCCACCAGCAGGAUAUCUGACUGAUACGCAGAGUGUUUAAAUGAUUGUGUCAAGGCAACUAGAGAAAGAUGGAACAUGUAAGUAUAGCUGGCUUUAAAUCUUUUUAAUUUUCUCUAGAACAAAUGCUGAUAUUCGUUUGUCUUAAAUGCGAAAGUGUGAGAUUUGUGGUGUUUAAAUGUUUUAUUGUCACGGUUUUAAAAACCGGAAAGGAUCGUUUUUAUGACUCUUUUUUUAUGCAAGCUUGAGAUUGUUCUGAAUAUAUGGAGCUUCAGUUUUCUCUGACAACCAGUUUUAGAAACACAACCAUAUCUCCCUCGGGACACAGACGAGACAAGUGUGAGGCACCAAGCAGUGCUGCCUUUUUAUUGGUUGUUUAAAUGUUUGUCUAAACAGUAAGAAUUGAAUCUGGGCUGCUUGCAUAAGACACUGGGACAAGUGAUUAGGAUGCUUAGGAAGUAUCUUAAGGUAGACUGAAUCAUCGAUGUGGAAGAGAAUGUACUGUAAAGGAUUCAUGAAUGUCAGUCUUGGAGUUUCUGUUAUUUGACUGUUUUGGAGAACAUUAUGAAUGAAUCUCAUAAAAACAUUUUCAUUUUGAUUUUCAUAACAAAUAAGCACAUUCACCCACAAACUGAUUUAUAUUCUAUAUUAUUUGUUGUAAGCUUAUAUUAAAUUAAUAUUAUCAAAAAUGUGUAAAUUCUAGAAGUUAGCAUAUUAUAAUUUGUUACAGUAUCUCACAGAAGUGAGUACACCCCUCACAUUUUUGUAAAUAUUUUAUUAU
Molecule: long non-coding RNA, 1358 nt
Organism: Cyprinus carpio (common carp)
Lineage: Eukaryota; Metazoa; Chordata; Actinopteri; Cypriniformes; Cyprinidae
Exons: 3
Source: RefSeq, a predicted model, not a curated record